UACCUGCAGCCCAAGUGGUGGUCGAUUUUAUUGAGCCUAAAACGUUCGUAGCCGGUUUGGUAAAUCUUUGGGUAAGUCGGGAGGCUCAACUUUCCGACUUCCGAAGAGACUGUCAAACUUGGGACCGGGAGAGGCUAGAGGUACUUCUGGGGUAGGGGUAAGAUCCUGUAAUCCUAGAAGGACCACCGGUGGCGAAGGCGUCUAGCUAGAACGGAUCCGACGGUGAGGGACGAAGCCCUGGGUCGCAAACGGGAUUAGAUACCCCGGUAGUCCAGGGUGUAAACGCUGCCGACUUGGUGUUGGAGGCCCUUCGGGGGCAUUCAGUGCCGGAGAGAAGUUGUUAAGUCGGCUACUUGGGGAGUACGUCCGCAAGGAUGAAACUUAAA
This 386-nucleotide ribosomal RNA is filed under the name uncultured methanogenic archaeon. RNAcentral describes it as "bacterial SSU rRNA". It matches the Rfam family "Archaeal small subunit ribosomal RNA", at positions 474 to 860 of the family's 1478-position model. Lineage: Archaea; Methanobacteriati; Methanobacteriota. The record is from RNAcentral.